RNAcentral lists this ribosomal RNA (219 nucleotides) under uncultured fungus. Its description in RNAcentral is "partial small subunit ribosomal RNA". The stretch from base 101 to 219 matches the Rfam family "Eukaryotic small subunit ribosomal RNA", at positions 743 to 864 of the family's 1831-position model. The record is from RNAcentral. Lineage: Eukaryota; Fungi.
GAGGAGAGCCAGCGGUCUCGGUUCGCCGUGUACUGCUCGAGUUCGAAUCUUACCUUCUGGACGGGAAUGGUGCUCUUCACUGAGUGCCAUCGCUUCUGUGCCAGGACGAUUACCUUGAGAAAAAUAGAGUGUUCAAAGCAGGCAGUUGCUUGAAUACGUUAGCAUGGAAUAAUAAGAUAGGACUUUGGUUCUAUUUUGUUGGUUUUACGGACCAAUGUC